This is a long non-coding RNA of Micropterus dolomieu (smallmouth bass), 450 nucleotides long. RefSeq lists it as uncharacterized. The transcript is spliced from 3 exons. Lineage: Eukaryota; Metazoa; Chordata; Actinopteri; Centrarchiformes; Centrarchidae. The record is from RefSeq and is a predicted model, not a curated record.
UGCUGCUGCUACUCCGCAGAGAGAAGUACGACAGGAACACACCCGGACACAAGCCUUAGAGACUCCUGGGUCCCCGUUAACGUCUGUCUGUGUGUCCCAGGCCCAGUGAGGAGAUGGUGAAGAUGGUCCUGAGAUGUCCCUGUCACCCUGAGGACCAGUUCACCAGACACUGGUCGUCCAAUCACGACAACACGCUGGGAGAACACAUCAAGGCCCAACUGAUGAAGAACAACAACCAGCCCCGCAAGAGACAGAAGUGAGGACUGAUAGGAAAGAGUCUUCGCAGUUCCAGCAGUAAACUGGCUCAGCUCACCCUGGAACAGAUCCUGGAGCUCAUGGACAACCUGAAGCUGAGCCUGAGCAACACCAAGAACAGAUUCUUCACUCAGACCCCAAUCCUUCGGCUCUGCGGCACGUUCAGGCCAGCUGUGACGAGGUCCACAAGAUGAG